CCUACGGGUGGCAGCAGUGGGGAAUAUUGCACAAUGGGGGAAACCCUGAUGCAGCGACGCCGCGUGAGUGAAGAAGUAUUUCGGUACGUAAAGCUCUAUCAGCAGGGAAGAAAAUGACGGUACCUGCCUAAGACGCCCCGGCUAACUACGUGCCAGCAGCCGCGGUAAUACGUAGGGGGCAAGCGUUAUCCGGAUUUACUGGGUGUAAAGGGAGCGUAGACGGCUAAUCAAGUCAGAAGUGAAAACCCAGGGCUCAACCUUGGGACUGCUUUUGAAACUGAGUAGCUAGAGUGCAGGAGAGGUAAGCGGAAUUCCUAGUGUAGCGGUGAAAUGCGUAGAUAUUAGGAGGAACACCAGUGGCGAAGGCGGCUUACUGGACUGUAACUGACGUUGAGGCUCGAAAGCGUGGGGAGCAAACAGGAUUAGAUACCCCGGUAGUC
Molecule: ribosomal RNA, 440 nt
Filed under: uncultured bacterium
Lineage: Bacteria
Description: partial 16S ribosomal RNA
Rfam family: Bacterial small subunit ribosomal RNA
Source: RNAcentral